RNAcentral lists this transfer RNA (65 nucleotides) under Andrena camellia. RNAcentral describes it as "tRNA-Asn". The record is from RNAcentral. Lineage: Eukaryota; Metazoa; Arthropoda; Insecta; Hymenoptera; Andrenidae.
UUAAUUGAAACCAAAAUAGAGGUAAAUUAUUGUUAAUAAUUAAAUUGACCAAUAAUCCAAUUAAA